ACUCAACAGAACUUUUACCCAAACCUAGGCCAUUAUAAAUACUUAAAAGGAUAUUUUGGACCUAUUUCAGCUAUUGUGACAGUCUCUUCCACUCAAAAUUUGACAAGAUAUAUCCCUAUGUGGAAGCUGAUAAGCAGUGGAAUGACAGGAUUUGCUAGGUUAACUACAUAUUGAACAUAAUCUGAGCAGACGACGUAAGCUAGCUGAAAUGAGAUUCAAGACGAAAAAUUCACCACCACUAGAAAAUUUCCCCUUCCUUUUCCCAAUUAUAAAUUACUUUUGAUGCAUUUAGGUUAAUAGCAGAGUCCUGCUUAUUCUGUUUAUUAGAUUUCGAAAGCAUUCUCAUUAAUGGUGCAAAAAUCUAGAAGUCGUAAUAUGAAACCCUAAAAGUUGAUUUCCAGUUAAGUAAUUAUAACAACCCGCACCUAUAUAUUUGUUACACAACUCUGUAGCCACAUUCAAAUCACAAAUUAUGGAUAAUAACAACUCUUUAAAUUUCAAUUUAUUAAGAAAUAUUCACAGGAAGAAUUAGUUAUAAGCCAAUCUCAGAAAACUCAGCCUAAUUUCAUUCGUCAAUGAUUAAAAUAUAGUGCGAUGUAAACUAUGAUGUGUAUAUAAUGGUAGCAGCCAAAACUACAACAAUGAUAGCUGUGAAGUAAUGGUUUAUGCUAUCCUAAUAGUAAAUACAGGUGUUGAAUCAGCUUUGCAGUCAAGAGUUCAGUCAUUAUUCAAUAAAUUUCAAGAAAUUUGCAGUGCAAAAUAUACUAAAAUGGAAAAUACCUUCCAAAGGUUAUGAUACCAGUAUGGUCACGCACUCCCAUUUCAUUUCCAUUUCUAAAUUCAAGCAUGGGUCUGCCUGGAGGGCUCCUUGAAUGAUGAGUUCCCACCCCAUUGUUCCAAAACCUAUGGAAGACACAUCCAGGAAUCCAUAUACUCUCAUUCCUGAUCCACAUAACAAUUUCUCGCGAGUCUUGUAUCUUAUUCCCGUUCAGUUUAAACUUAUCUGUUGAUCACCUCAAAAGGCGCAUUCAAUCCACCAUCAAUCAACUCAAGAGAAUUAAAUCUAAUGCUAUGGUUAAAUCUAUUUCUAUGUAUAUAGUCAUAGGUCAUGUACAUGAGAAAGUCUAUGAAGAGACUUUUUCCUGUUAUUUGUUGAGUAUAUUCAGCAUCAACUUGUAAAUCAUUAUACGCUCUGUCCAGUAUCUUGUAUGUUACUUCAUCAAAGUUAAAGGAGAUCUCACUCAACUUCUGGCCCCACAUCAUAGCCCUCUGAGGCAACCCUUGUUUGAUUAGAUGAGACAGCAGUAAGUUGGUUGUAACCGUAUUUGGAACAAAUCCCAUCUUAAGCAAUUUAGCUGUCAAAAUCAUUGCACGGUCAAGUAUGUCAUUACAAACACCAUUCAUCAGAGUGUUGUAUGUUACUGUAUUCGGAACCAUGCCAGCAGAAAUGAGAUCAUCAAACAUCAUAACAGCUAGAUUCAUUUUCCGACUACUGCAGAGACCAUGAAGUCGUAUGUUAUAUGUUGUAAUAUCUGGGUCCCACCCACUAGUGUGCAUUCUGUUUACAAAAUUGUCAGCAUUUAUCAGGUCAAAUGCCUUGCAGUAUCCGCUUAUCAAAGUGUUGUAAGUCACAAUAUCUGCAGUUAACCCAUGUUUAUGCAUUUCCAUGUAAGUAUCUAUAGCCGACUUCAUUCUUCCCUGUUUACAGAACCCAUUGAUGAUAAUAUUAAUGGUGAAGACAUCUGGAAGCAAACCCCUCUGCCUCAUCUCCCUCUCCAACUUCAAUGCUUCAUUUAUUUUUCCAGAGUUACAAAAACCAGAAAUUAAAGAAUUAUAAGCAAAGUUGUUAGGGACAAGUCCUUUCCUUGUCAUUUUCAAAAAAACAUCAUAUGCCUCUUCAACGAAGCCAGCUUUACAAAGUCCAUCAAUGAAGGCAGAAAAAGCAACAGCAUCAGGAGCCAUUCCAAUUAUUUCCAUCUCUUCCCACACAAUCUGAGCUCCCACCAUGUCCCCUUUCUUAAAGUAUCCAUCCAGAACAACAGUGAAAGCCACUUUAUUGAUAGGAUAACCCUUCUUGAUCAUCUUAAUCAUGAGAUCCAUAGCUUCUUGGUGCCUCCCUGCUUUAGACAAACCUACGAGCAGUGAAGUACAUGUGGAAGCUGAAGGAGUUAGACCAAAUUUUAUCAUUAUGUUAUAAACUUCAAAAACUUUGUCUUCUAAACCUGCUUCACUGUAUGCAGUAAUAAUGGAGUUAAAUGCAACUACACUAAGAGGUAUCCCUUUCUCAAGCAUAUUUUCUAAUAAUUCCAAGGCUUCCUCUAAUCUUCCAGACCAACAUAACCCCGAUAUAGAUAUAUCAGAUAGCGAACAAUCUGGAAUCAACUCAUUACAGGAUAAAUCCCUCAAAAUUUUGUUACCAUCCUCUUUCAUUCCAUACUUAUAAUGCCCAGCAACUAAAAUGUUCAUAGUUAUACUAUCAGGUGCCACACCCUUGCUUCUCAUGUCUUCAUAAAGCAUAUUUGCCUGAUUGACUUCUCUCGCCUUCACAUAGCCAUUCAUCAAAGCAUUGUACAAUACGGUGUUUGGCAACACACCCAUCUCUUGCAUUCCGUCGAAGAUAUUUCUUGCUUCCACAAUGUUACCCUCCUUGCAGAAGGCAUUGAUGACCGUCCCAAAUGUAACAGUGCUUGGCUGGCAACCACUUUCAACCAUCAACCACACCCAACUUAGAGCAUCUGAAGUCCACCCCCUAACACAAUAUGCAUUGAUCAAAAUGUUAUAUGCAUAAACAUCUGGUUCGCAUCUAAAUUUCUUCAUUACAUGCAACAAACUUUCUCCAAUCCUAACACAUCCUCUUCUACAGAAACCGAGGAUCAUGACAUUAUAAACAAAAACUGAAGGACGGGGUCCUCUUUUAACCAUAUCCCUGAACAACUUCCAGACACUACCAUAAUCACCAACCCUUAUCAACAGCUUUAAAAGAGUGCUAAUCGCUGAUAAACUUGGCCAACUACCAGUCUCCCUCAUCCUUCCCAAUACAUCUAAUGCUCGUGAUCCCAUCUCUGCAUUUGUGAACGAACGCAUUAAUGAAUCAAGAACUGAAAAAUCUGACUCAUACUUAAAAUGUUCUCUCCACAUAAACUCCACCACAUCAUUACUCCUAUCCUCCCCUGUUCUCCUAAUCACCCAUGUAAGCACAUCUUGUGCUAGAAACCUCAAGUCCUCAGCUGCCAACAAAUGUGCAGCAAUGCAACUUCCCCAGAUCACACUUUCCAAAUUAUCCUGAACUAGAAAUUUGAAAAACGAAAACGCCACCUGCCGUUUCUCAAGCAUUUUCAUGAUUUCUACAAGUAUAUGAGGGCAGAAAUUAUUGGCCAGUUUCUGUAAGAGAUAACCCUUUUCUUGUUUGAUCAUUUUUGCUAUACCAGAAGCAAUUUUACGCCUCUCAUUCGAAUUAAUAACAGUGCUUGAAGCGUUAGAAAAUUUCUUGAAGGGUGAAAAUUGCUCAAGAAAAUCAAAUUUGGAAUCAAAAGAAAGAGAAUUUGAGCUCCUGUAGUAAGAAGAUUGAUGAAAUUCGGAAGUCUCUAGGGUCUGUUGAGGAACAGAGAGAGAAUGCACAAGUAGGUUUUGUGAAGUUGAGAGAGAAAGGUAGAGUGAGAAAGAGCUAGAGACCUUGAGAGUGAUAUGAAGUCGGCGCACAGUGGCAGACAUCCGGCGAGUUCGCUGGAGUUUUCGUCGGAGAUAGGACUUCCGACGACGGCUUCUGAAGAGGGAUUUGCUUGUGCUCCUGGCGCAUUCCCGGUCAAAA
RNAcentral lists this long non-coding RNA (3808 nucleotides) under Olea europaea subsp. europaea. Lineage: Eukaryota; Viridiplantae; Streptophyta; Magnoliopsida; Lamiales; Oleaceae. The record is from RNAcentral.